UGGCUGACCAUCGACCCACAGGUCCGGCUCUCCCUCACUCGGCAGCUCAUCUCCAGUCACCGGCUCUCCCUCACUCCGCAGCUCAUCUCCAGAUUUGUGUUGGUUAGUGUGGACUGAGGCUGCUUGUGGUUUUGGGAUUCCAAUUAAAUCCAUUCUUUCUUCACAUAAGGAGAUAAUCAUAAUGCAUAAGACAACAUAAUAUGACUUGUUGGCUAGAUUAUCAGUGGCUUUUAAGGUUCUUCAACUAUGUCCGGAGAUUGUACCGUUCAAACAAUUCUUGAUGAUGGGGAGCCUAAUGAAGAGGAUGGGAGUUGUGUCACAAUUAUGGAUGAUUAGACAUUUUGUAAUAAUUUAGUAGCCUUUUUAAUUUCUUAAACUUGUUGGAUUAAUUUGUUGGUUUGUAAUUAUUUUAAGCCUUUUUAGCAUUUUGUAAUUUUUUAGCCUUUUUAAUUUGUUGGUUUGUGGAGGAUAAGACAUUUUGUAAUUUCUUACACUUGUAGGAUUUGUUUUGUAACUUUUUAUUUUUGAAUUUCUUGAACUUGUUGGACUUUUGAUACUUAGUUCUUGGACUUAUUGGAUUUAUUUUAUUUUUAUGUUUAGUUGGUGAUUUUA
Molecule: long non-coding RNA, 612 nt
Organism: Quercus robur (English oak)
Lineage: Eukaryota; Viridiplantae; Streptophyta; Magnoliopsida; Fagales; Fagaceae
Exons: 4
Source: RefSeq, a predicted model, not a curated record